This 82-nucleotide small nucleolar RNA is filed under the name Oryzias javanicus (javanese ricefish). Its description in RNAcentral is "Small nucleolar RNA SNORD72 (ENSOJAG00000017761.1)". It matches the Rfam family "Small nucleolar RNA SNORD72". From Rfam's summary of the family: snoRNA HBII-240 belongs to the CD family of snoRNAs. It is the human orthologue of the mouse MBII-240 and is predicted to guide 2'O-ribose methylation of the large 28S rRNA at residue U4590. The record is from Rfam by way of RNAcentral. Lineage: Eukaryota; Metazoa; Chordata; Actinopteri; Beloniformes; Adrianichthyidae.
AGCUCACCAAUGAUGGCAAUCAAAUGUCUGAACCAAUGAAUCCAUAGUGAUUUAACUAUUUUUAUGAACUCUGAGGUGAGCU